Molecule: long non-coding RNA, 450 nt
Organism: Chiroxiphia lanceolata (lance-tailed manakin)
Lineage: Eukaryota; Metazoa; Chordata; Aves; Passeriformes; Pipridae
Exons: 2
Source: RefSeq, a predicted model, not a curated record
UGAGAGAGAAGCUACUGUAGCCCGAAUCUAAGAAAGGUAUUAAAAGGAGAAGGUAGCAGCUUACCAGAGGGUAGGUGAUAUGCCUGCUUCCUUUAGCAGAAGACUGCUGUAAGAGACCAGUGCUCUAAAUAAACACGUCUGUUUCACCAGGACGGAUUGAUAACAGUUCCAGUUUCUAUUUCAUACACACAUAUAUUUGAUGUUAGAACACUUAUUGUGGGUGUUUGAAUUAAACAGUGUUUGCCGUACCUGAAGGAAUCAGUGGCGACUGCAGUAUACACGAUGCAGACUUCGAGGCAUCUGAAAUACUCCUGUCAGAUGAGGGAACAUUACUUGUGCAUGGAUGCACAAGAAGUUUGGCACUCUGAGUUACAGAGAUAUUGUCAUCCAUGCUCUGGCUGCUGAGAGAGUAUAGACACCCAGAACUUCCAUCUUGGAAAAAAAAAAAGG